Non-coding RNA from Phrynosoma platyrhinos (Desert horned lizard), 71 nucleotides. The record is from the annotation of a GenBank genome assembly. NCBI's taxonomy places the organism in Eukaryota, Metazoa, Chordata, Lepidosauria, Squamata, Phrynosomatidae.
GCCAGCAUUGUAUAGUGGCAUGAGUGUUGGACUACAACUCCAAAGACCAGGGUUUGAAUCCCUGCUUGGCC